CCUACGGGAGGCAGCAGUAGGGAAUAUUGCACAAUGGGGGAAACCCUGAAGCAGCAACGCCGCGUGGAGGAUGAAGGUUUUCGGGUUGUAAACUCCUUUUGUUAGAGAAGAUAAUGACGGUAUCUAACGAAUAAGCACCGGCUAACUCCGUGCCAGCAGCCGCGGUAAUACGGAGGGUGCAAGCGUUACUCGGAAUCACUGGGCGUAAAGAGCGCGUAGGCGGGAUAGCAAGUGAGCUGUGAAAUCCUAUGGCUUAACCAUAGAACUGCAUGUGAAACUGUUAUGCUAGAGUAUGGGAGAGGUAGGUGGAAUUCUUGGUGUAGGGGUAAAAUCCGUAGAGAUCAAGAGGAAUACUCAUUGCGAAGGCGACUUGCUAGAACGUAACUGACGCUGAUGCGCGAAAGCGUGGGGAGCAAACAGGAUUAGAUACCCUAGUAGUC
Molecule: ribosomal RNA, 440 nt
Filed under: uncultured bacterium
Lineage: Bacteria
Description: partial 16S ribosomal RNA
Rfam family: Bacterial small subunit ribosomal RNA
Source: RNAcentral